UCCGGGGGGCAGCUACCAUGCAGUCGAGCGAGAACUUCGGUUCUAGCGGCGGACGGGUUAGUAACGCGUGGGAACGUGCCCUUCACUACGGAAUAGUCCCGGGAAACUGGGUUUAAUACCGUAUACGCCCUUCGGGGGAAAGAAUUUCGGUGAAGGAUCGGCCCGCGUUAGAUUAGAUAGUUGGUGGGGUAACGGCCUACCAAGUCUACGAUCUAUAGCUGGUUUUAGAGGAUGAUCAGCAACACUGGGACUGAGACACGGCCCAGACUCCUACGGGAGGCAGCAGUGGGGAAUCUUAGACAAUGGGCGCAAGCCUGAUCUAGCCAUGCCGCGUGAGUGAUGAAGGCCUUAGGGUCGUAAAGCUCUUUCGCCAGGGAUGAUAAUGACAGUACCUGGUAAAGAAACCCCGGCUAACUCCGUGCCAGCAGCCGCGGUAAUACGGAGGGGGUUAGCGUUGUUCGGAAUUACUGGGCGUAAAGCGCGCGUAGGCGGAUUGGAAAGUUGGGGGUGAAAUCCCAGGGCUCAACCCUGGAACUGCCUCCAAAACUAUCAGUCUAGAGUUCGAGAGAGGUGAGUGGAACUCCGAGUGUAGAGGUGAAAUUCGUAGAUAUUCGGAAGAACACCAGUGGCGAAGGCGGCUCACUGGCUCGAUACUGACGCUGAGGUGCGAAAGUGUGGGGAGCAAACAGGAUUAGAUACCCUGGUAGUCC
This 710-nucleotide ribosomal RNA is filed under the name Roseovarius sp. Its description in RNAcentral is "bacterial SSU rRNA". It matches the Rfam family "Bacterial small subunit ribosomal RNA", at positions 38 to 796 of the family's 1533-position model. Lineage: Bacteria; Pseudomonadati; Pseudomonadota; Alphaproteobacteria; Rhodobacterales; Roseobacteraceae. The record is from RNAcentral.